RNAcentral lists this ribosomal RNA (117 nucleotides) under Lobosphaera incisa. The record is from RNAcentral. Lineage: Eukaryota; Viridiplantae; Chlorophyta; Trebouxiophyceae; Trebouxiales; Trebouxiaceae.
UGGUGUCCUAGCUAAAAUGGAACCACACCAAUCCAUCUCGAACUUGGUUGUUAAACGUUUUAGGAGUGACAAUACUGUUGGGGUGACCCUUUGGAAAAAUAACUUGAUGCCAAGAUU